Neocloeon triangulifer is the source of this 1777-nucleotide long non-coding RNA. RefSeq lists it as uncharacterized. The transcript has 5 exons. Lineage: Eukaryota; Metazoa; Arthropoda; Insecta; Ephemeroptera; Baetidae. The record is from RefSeq and is a predicted model, not a curated record.
CCAGUCAGACCAGUGCAUGAUAAGAAAAGUGUAUGUAAAUACAGGUGUGUGAUUGAGAGACGGGACUAACCAGGUGGAACUGGAGCCUCCAAGGGUCGCGGCAAAGUUCUGCUUUAGGGACACUUUCAGGGGUCACCUGGAGCGCGACCGGGGAUGCCGAAUCCCUCCUGAUGACCGUCAUGCUUGCUUCAGCAGUUUGUAAGGGGCGUCAGCGUGGUGGUGGGACUGGUGGGCUCGCAAGGAGCAUGUUGUUGUCAAAACAAAAUAGCUAUAGAGUAUUGACAUCCCUUAAACGCCUUAAACUGCGAAUAAAGGUUUUGCAAACGAGGUAAACAAUUUUGUCUCGGACGACGUCACAAAAAUGUUACCUUACAUUUAUACGAAAUGUAUUUCUUUGUCAUUUAAUCUGCAAUGUGCAAGUUGACCUUAAAAUUAAACAAUUUAAAAUAUUUUUGAUGCAGCGCUGCGAUAAUAAAGUUAAAUUUUGGAAGAAAAUUAAAUAAUCUAUGUAAUUUGACCAAAUGCCACUGCACAUAAACUGAUUUUGUAGCACAAGAAUAUUAUGGAAUAAAAAUUUAUAAAUUAAAUUGAUUAGACAUACAGUAUUCACCGGAUGACUGCUGGCUGGUUGACGUCGUCGGUGCUGGUCCUUCAGCAGGCCAGGCCGGCGGACAGGACCUAGUUGCAACGAUGCACCUGAUCCCAACAUUGGCACCUUCACCUUAGAUGUGAAUUUCUAUCAUCGCCAAACAAAGACACAGAUGACCGGCGUCCAGCCGCAAAUUCAGAUGGAAGGAGUCCAGCCGCCGCCGCAGGAUCAAGUGGACGGGCUCGAGCCACAGCAGCAAAUUGAGCCACCAGUCCAGAACGAGGGAGACGGCCAAGAGGCACCGGACCAGGACGAGGGGGACGGUCUUGAGCCUCCAGUCCAGGACGAGGUGAACGAAGUUGAGUCACCAUCAAAGCAAAAUCAGCAUUGCCAGAACGUUCAGCCACUGCCGAGUGAGAAUUGGAAUCGGCUGGACGAAGUAGACAGCCUUGAGCAGCCAGCCGAGAACGAGGAAAACGCCCAAGAGGCAACUGAUGAGGACGAGGGGGACACUCUUGAGACUUGAGUCCAGGAGGAGGUUGAGUCACCAGCAUCAACGAACGUGAACGUGGAGAGUGUUCACCCACUGCCGAGUGAGAAUCGGCCGCUGGACAAGGUGGAUGGCCUUGACCCACCAGUCCAGGACGAGGGGGACGCCCAAGAGGCACCUGACCAGGACGAGGGGGACGGUCUUGAGCCUCCAGUCCAGGACGAGGUGAACGAAGUUGAGUCACCAUCAAAGCAUAAUCAGCAUUGCCAGAACGAGUGUUCAGCCGCUGCCGAGUGAGAAUAAAAAUCAGCUGGACGCUGAAGGCCAGCCUAAUGUUAUUGCUGAGGGACCGUUUGCUUGAGGAUGUGGCUUUUCGUUAUGUUAAUUUGCUAUUUUGAAUUCUUCACCAAGGAACAAUUGUAUAAUGUAGCAUAGAUAUGUAAAAUUAUUAUAAAGAUGCAUGAUGAUCUUAAUGUUAAUUAAAAAUACGUAUUAUUCAUUAGCCUUCGUGAUGACAGAACUAUAUAUUUGUACUUAUCAUUUAUGACAAGGAAUUCUACUGUAGUAUGCGCUCAGUUAUUAAUUUGACAGAGGAAUAGCAUGCCAUUCUUGCCAAUGCCCGAGCAGAGCUUUAUCUUGAUGCCACGCAUAAAAGGGGUAUAUUAUUUCAAAGAUAAUUAAAUCCUCAAUGAAGAAUU